GAAAGGAUCAGCUGGGUAUUGAAUGGA
This 27-nucleotide non-coding RNA is filed under the name Rattus norvegicus (Norway rat). The record is from RNAcentral. Lineage: Eukaryota; Metazoa; Chordata; Mammalia; Rodentia; Muridae.